This is a long non-coding RNA of Lonchura striata (white-rumped munia), 2408 nucleotides long. Lineage: Eukaryota; Metazoa; Chordata; Aves; Passeriformes; Estrildidae. The record is from Ensembl.
AUGAAAUGCAUCCAGAGAUCUCCAUUGCCAUGGUUACAUGAGCCUUCCUGUGAGAAGGGCCCUUGUGAAAUCCAAAAUCCAAGCAUACUGAUGUGCUCACGGUCAGUUCAAGGCUGCUGCCUUUCCUGUUUUUUGCUGGGGCAGCUGUUUCCCUGUAUUUCCAUUUUCUCCACUGAGAGUGUUUAUGGCUGCAGCAAAUUGGUAGUAGGAAGGUUUGAGCUUUGCAGGAUGGAUUCCCUCUAUCCUCAUAUUUUUUUUUCUAGGUAUUUCACUAAGUUCAAUUGCAAACGUCUGGGUCUAGAGGAACCUGCCAGCUCUUUCCCUCCCACUGCACAUGCUGAAGACAGAUGUUUAUCAGUAUCUCAUACUUGGUGCUUCAGAUGGGUAUCGCUCUGCUGGCAACAAACACCUUUCACUCCCAAGCUGUAAGAGCCAAACACACUGCCAGCUCAGCAGCACUCCAGUGCUGUGGUCUCAGCAGGCAUCUGCGUGACCAUCAGAGAGGAGCAAACAAAACCCCUCCUCCAGGGGAUAACUUGAGCAGGAGAUAAAGGUUAAACUUGCCUCCUCCACUAAGGUGAGUGCCCCGAAUUCCACCCAAGAGCCAGGGAAGAGAGCUGGCAACCCAGCCCUCUGUUUUACCAACAGCUUGUGCCCAUCCAUGUGACACCGAGGCACAUCAACACCAUCAGGCAGCACGGGGCUCUUGCGCAUGAAUAGCUGGAGCCCUCUCCUUUCACGGCAGGUGACACGGACCCUCUGUCCUGCCCUGGGACAGGGUACGUGCAGCCUGACCAGGCGGAUCCAGGUCCAGAUGGUACCACAGCACUGCUGCGUGGCUCUGCCACUACUUCCCAAAGCCCUACUUUGCAGGAUCCCCAGCUCCCCACAUGGCCUGGCUCUUUGUAGGGGUUAUGCGCAGUGUGGGAUGGUCACAUGAGGAGGAAUGCUAAAUUUGUAUCCGCCACCCUGCCAUAAGAAAGAAGAGGCUCAAGAGAUGCGUUGGCGUAAUAGCCUUUCCAGCUAUUUUAGCAGCACUCCCACAGCAACCUAAAAGGCUGCGGUGCAAAAGAAGAAUCCUGCCUUCAGUUUCUAGAGCUGUCAUACAGGCUCACUUUGUCAUUAUGAAAUUUAAAACAAAAAAAAAGUUAAAUGAUGAAGAAAUAUCCUGCUGUUUCCCAUUCUUAAAAAAAAAAAGAAAUUGAGGAUGAAAAUGGCAAAUUCAUUUGCUCAUGCUGUUGUGUUCCGGAAAAGCUUUUAAAUCUUCACAUUCAAGGAGAUGCAGCAGAAAAAGAACUGCUAUUGAAGUUUCUUGUAUCAUUUCAAAACAUUAAGUGGGUAAUUGCUUGUAAAAGCCAUAAAGGGGAGAGAACAAAAAAAAAAAAAAAAAAUCAGUAUAAUUUUAGCUCCUGUUUUGGAAAUGACUUUGCUUGUGAAAGUUAAUAUAUUCUUUUACCAGAAAACUUGAAUCAAGAAAACUAUAUAUCUUCUUAAGUCAACUGCUUGCUCUACUUGUAAGGACAAGGAGAAGAGCAGCAAUUCUAAGUAAUCCUGUACAAAGCAAGCUGCGUGUCAGAGAAAGAGGGCUUUUAUUACCAUUUUUCAGGAGCUGUUCUUUUUUCAGUGUGGAGAAUUAUUUCAUUAAACCUUACAUGCAGAAAUAACAUCCUCAUGCCAAGAGGCAGGUAGGUGCUGACUCACUCUUCGGUUGCAAAAUGACAAUGCAAGAUCCUAAUUACUUCGUUUGUGAAAUCCUCUUGUGUCUUCAUGCCCUACCCAGAAUUGCAUUCUUGCCUAGGGUGCUUGUCAUCAAUGUCACAUCAAUGAGAAUAUGAAGGCUUGCAUGGCAACCUGGUGAGAUCCACUGCCCAGAACAAAUCUCUGUCUUCUCUGGCAGACAGCUGAAAUAGAAGGGAGCCCUGCAUCCCCUAAGCAACCCUGUAGGCCACCAGCUGCAAUCCCAUAUCCUCUGGCCAGCUCUCAAAAGAGGGAGAGAUGAAAGAAGAAAGAAACAUGCUCCUUUCAGAAGAUGGAGAGAAGAGCAUGGGCAUGAAAUACCCCUGAAUGCAUCUGCUCUUCAGUUGUUUGUCAUUACCUUGGGCCCAGUGAUGAGGUGUCUCUGAUGCAUCCAGCCCUAUAGUGAUUCAAGCUGCUAAUCCUGAGCAAUAACCAGCAAGGAAGAUGCUGGGAGCAGGAGGACACUCUUGUACUGCCAUAUCCCCCCCUGCUCUCUGUUCUGUUGCUGCUUCACUGACAAGUAAAUGGAAUUAGCGUCACUGUCAUUUCAAAGUCGUUCAUCUAAGGAGUACAAUAAGAUCAGUGUGAGAUUUUACUCCCUUUUUGCUUCAUUCUUCUUCAGAGUUAAAGAAAAUAAUAAAUCCAGCCCUUAUUGACCUGGGGAUGUCUUA